RNAcentral lists this ribosomal RNA (415 nucleotides) under uncultured Aminobacter sp. Its description in RNAcentral is "bacterial SSU rRNA". It matches the Rfam family "Bacterial small subunit ribosomal RNA", at positions 358 to 790 of the family's 1533-position model. Lineage: Bacteria; Pseudomonadati; Pseudomonadota; Alphaproteobacteria; Hyphomicrobiales; Phyllobacteriaceae. The record is from RNAcentral.
GGAAUAUUGGACAAUGGGCGAAAGCCUGAUCCAGCCAUGCCGCGUGAGUGAUGAAGGCCCUAGGGUUGUAAAGCUCUUUCAACGGUGAAGAUAAUGACGGUAACCGUAGAAGAAGCCCCGGCUAACUUCGUGCCAGCAGCCGCGGUAAUACGAAGGGGGCUAGCGUUGUUCGGAAUUACUGGGCGUAAAGCGCACGUAGGCGGAUACUUAAGUUAGGGGUGAAAUCCCGGGGCUCAACCCCGGAACUGCCUUUAAUACUGGGUAUCUCGAGUUCGAGAGAGGUGAGUGGAAUUCCGAGUGUAGAGGUGAAAUUUGUAGAUAUUCGGAGGAACACCAGUGGCGAAGGCGGCUCACUGGCUCGAUACUGACGCUGAGGUGCGAAAGCGUGGGGAGCGAAUGGGAUUAGAUACCCGGG